GAUGAACGCUGGCGGCGUGCCUAAUACAUGCAAGUCGAGCGAACGGACGAGAAGCUUGCUUCUCUGAUGUUAGCGGCGGACGGGUGAGUAACACGUGGAUAACCUACCUAUAAGACUGGGAUAACUUCGGGAAACCGGAGCUAAUACCGGAUGAUAUUUUGAACCGCAUGGUUCAAAAGUGAAAGACGGUCUUGCUGUCACUUAUAGAUGGAUCCGCGCUGCAUUAGCUAGUUGGUAAGGUAACGGCUUACCAAGGCAACGAUGCAUAGCCGACCGGAGAGGGUGAUAGGCCACCCUGGAACUGAGACACGGUCCAGACUCCUACGGGAGGCAGCAGUAGGGAAUCUUCCGCAAUGGGCGAAAGCCUGACGGAGCAACGCCGCGUGAGUGAUGAAGGUCUUCGGAUCGUAAAACUCUGUUAUUAGGGAAGAACAUAUGUGUAAGUAACUGUGCACAUCUUGACGGUACCUAAUCAGAAAGCCACGGCUAACUACGUG
Molecule: ribosomal RNA, 497 nt
Filed under: uncultured bacterium
Lineage: Bacteria
Description: partial 16S ribosomal RNA
Rfam family: Bacterial small subunit ribosomal RNA
Source: RNAcentral